GGUCCAUUAGUAUAGGGGUCAGUACGUAACCUUCACACGGUUAAGACGCCGGUUCGAGUCCGGCAUAGACCA
Molecule: transfer RNA, 72 nt
Filed under: Tilletia walkeri
Lineage: Eukaryota; Fungi; Basidiomycota; Exobasidiomycetes; Tilletiales; Tilletiaceae
Rfam family: tRNA
About the family: Transfer RNA (tRNA) molecules are approximately 80 nucleotides in length. Their secondary structure includes four short double-helical elements and three loops (D, anti-codon, and T loops).
Source: Rfam by way of RNAcentral